RNAcentral lists this non-coding RNA (808 nucleotides) under Agriotes sp. GTI-106. Lineage: Eukaryota; Metazoa; Arthropoda; Insecta; Coleoptera; Elateridae. The record is from RNAcentral.
UAAGACUUUUAUCCUGGGUCUGCGGAAAAAUUUUUUUGUACCUAAAGUUUUAUUUUUGCUUAGGAUUUUAGUUUAUUUUUUUUUUACAUACAAAAUUUUUUGUUUAAAUAACGAUUUAUGUAGUAUUUAAUAUUAUAUAUUAAUUUACUUUAGAUUUAGAAAUUGAUAUGAGUUUUAAUAAAUUUUGUGCCAGCAAUUGCGGUUAUACAAAUGAUGCAAUUAAAAUUUUUUGGUUAGUAAUUAAAUGUUUAAAUUUUUAAUUAAAAUUUGUUAUUAAAUUUUUUGGGUGAAAUUUUAAAUUUAAUAUAAGUUUGUUUAUGUUUUUUGAGGUUACUAAAAUUUUCUUUUAGACUAGGAUUAGAUACCCUAUUAUUGAAAUUGUAAAUAUUAAAUGCCUGAUUAUUAAUAGAUUAUUUACUUGAAAAUUAAAGAUUUUGGCGGUAUUUUAGUCCAUUCAGAGGAACCUGUCCUGUAAUCGAUAGUCCACGAGUUAUUUUACUUUUUCUUUAGGUUUGUAUAUCGUCGUGGAACGAAUAUUUCAGAAGGAUUUAUAAUAUUCAAUAAUUAUUAUUAUAGUUAAUGUCAGAUCAAGGUGCAGCUUAUGAGGAAGAAGAGAUGGGUUACAAUAAAUUUAUUUUUGGUUUACUUUUAUAUUAAUUUGGUAAUAAAUUGGAUUUGAAUGUAAUAAUUUUUAGACUAUUAUUGUGAUUAAUUGGCUCUAAAAUAUGCACAUAUUGCCCGUCGCUCUCAUUUAAUAUGAGAUAAGUCGUAACAUAGUAGAUGUACUGGAAAGUGUAUCUAGAAAGAU